AUUGAACGCUGGCGGAAUGCUUUACACAUGCAAGUCGAGCGGCAGCACGGGGGCAACCCUGGUGGCGAGCGGCGAACGGGUGAGUAAUACAUCGGAACAUGCCCAGUCGUGGGGGAUAACACUUCGAAAGAAGUGCUAAUACCGCAUACGUCCUGAGGGAGAAAGCGGGGGAUCGCAAGACCUCGCGCGAUUGGAGUGGCCGAUGUCAGAUUAGCUAGUUGGUGGGGUAAAGGCCUACCAAGGCAACGAUCUGUAGCUGGUCUGAGAGGAUGAUCAGCCACACUGGGACUGAGACACGGCCCAGACUCCUACGGGAGGCAGCAGUAGGGAAUUUUGGACAAUGGGGGCAACCCUGAUCCAGCCAUUCCGCGUGAGUGAAGAAGGCCUUCGGGUUGUAAAGCUCUUUCGGCAGGAACGAAACGGCGAGCUCUAACAUAGCUUGCUAAUGACGGUACCUGAAGAAGAAGCACCGGCUAACUACGUG
RNAcentral lists this ribosomal RNA (484 nucleotides) under uncultured bacterium. Its description in RNAcentral is "partial 16S ribosomal RNA". It matches the Rfam family "Bacterial small subunit ribosomal RNA", at positions 30 to 507 of the family's 1533-position model. The record is from RNAcentral.